AUUUGGAUAGUUCAAUAAAGAAUAAUAAUUUGUGGUAUUAUAGGUGAAUGUCUUCUCUAGAUC
Molecule: transfer RNA, 63 nt
Filed under: Eocanthecona thomsoni
Lineage: Eukaryota; Metazoa; Arthropoda; Insecta; Hemiptera; Pentatomidae
Also listed under: 1 other name
Description: tRNA-His
Source: RNAcentral